This 658-nucleotide long non-coding RNA is filed under the name Pan troglodytes (chimpanzee). Its description in RNAcentral is "lincRNA". Lineage: Eukaryota; Metazoa; Chordata; Mammalia; Primates; Hominidae. The record is from RNAcentral.
ACGGUGAACAGCAUGGAGCACUUGCUGCAUGUCUGGCCAUCUCAGGGACAGAUGUCACAUUUGUUGCUGUAGCUGGACUUUAUGUUCUAUUCCGUUGGUCUGCCUAUCUAAAAAGCAAAAUUUCAAAUACUGACACCGAUAGAUGAAGAUGCUUUCGCUUCUUCCCUGUUUCAUCCAGUUGGGGGCUAAGUGUCCUUCGGUUUGGACUGUGCAGCUCGGGUCACCUUCUCUCUGUGGAACAGCAAGUGAAGAAAGAGGCGCAGAGCCCUGUGUUCCAAACCAUGGAGACAAUUGAGAAAGUGGGAACCCAUUAUUCCCCAAGCCCAGCCAGCAAACCUCACCGAUGAAACAGAUAAGCACUUCCUGCAGGUAGGGCUGACACUGGCCAGGACACAGCCCUCUCUCUCACAGCCGUGUUCCAGGUUGUUUGUGCACAAAAUUUCACAAAGGUCAGAGCUCGUCUCUCCAAACAGAUGAGCUUUGCGGUUAACCUGAAUUCACUGAACUAGGAUUUAUUAUUAUUAUUCUAUUUUACCUCUAACAGAAGUUUAAGGUCCGUGUAAGUUUCGUUCCUCUCUCUGAUUGUAGGGGAGACGCCCAGAGCGCCGUUUGGAGGAAAGAACCUGGCGUCCUUUCCUUACCUUCAUUUCAGGUACCC